RNAcentral lists this unclassified non-coding RNA (156 nucleotides) under soil metagenome. RNAcentral's name for it is "partial internal transcribed spacer 1". The record is from RNAcentral.
CCGAGUUAUCAACUCCCAAACCCCUGUGAACAUACCUAUCGUUGCUUCGGCGGGAUCCGCCCCGGCGCCCUCGGGCCCGGAAUCAGGCGCCCGCCGGAGACCCCAAACUCUUGUAUUUCUAUAUGAAUCUUCUGAGUGACACAAGCAAAUAAAUUA